AGUACGGCCGCAAGGUUAAAACUCAAAUGAAUUGACGGGGACCCGCACAAGCGGUGGAUGAUGUGGUUUAAUUCGAUGCAACGCGAAAAACCUUACCUACCCUUGACAUGUCUGGAAUCCUGAAGAGAUUUGGGAGUGCUCGAAAGAGAGCCAGAACACAGGUGCUGCAUGGCCGUCGUCAGCUCGUGUCGUGAGAUGUUGGGUUAAGUCCCGCAACGAGCGCAACCCUUGUCAUUAGUUGCUACGAAAGGGCACUCUAAUGAGACUGCCGGUGACAAACCGGAGGAAGGUGGGGAUGACGUCAGGUCCUCAUGGCCCUUAUGGGUAGGGCUACACACGUCAUACAAUGGCCGGUACAGAGGGCUGCCAACCCGCGAGGGGGAGCCAAUCCCAGAAAACCGGUCGUAGUCCGGAUCGCAGUCUGCAACUCGACUGCGUGAAGUCGGAAUCGCUAGUAAUCGCGGAUCAGCUUGCCGCGGUGAAUACGUUCCCGGGUCUUG
This 500-nucleotide ribosomal RNA is filed under the name uncultured bacterium. Its description in RNAcentral is "bacterial SSU rRNA". It matches the Rfam family "Bacterial small subunit ribosomal RNA", at positions 879 to 1383 of the family's 1533-position model. The record is from RNAcentral.